This 373-nucleotide ribosomal RNA is filed under the name uncultured organism. RNAcentral describes it as "partial 16S ribosomal RNA". It matches the Rfam family "Bacterial small subunit ribosomal RNA", at positions 527 to 896 of the family's 1533-position model. The record is from RNAcentral.
GAAGGUGGCUAGCGUUGUUCGGUGUUACUGGGCUUAAAGAGUGCGUAGGCAGAAAAGUAAGUGCUUUGUGAAAGCCCCCGGGCUCAACCGGGGGAAUUGCUUGGCAAACUGCUUUUCUUGAGGCAAGUAGGGGUGCAUGGAACUCUUGGUGGAGCGGUGGAAUGCGUAGAUAUCAAGAGGAACGCCAAUGGAGAAAUCAGUGCACUGGGCUUGCCCUGACGCUGAGGCACGAAAGCGUGGGGAGCGAACGGGAUUAGAUACCCCGGUAGUCCACGCCGUAAACGAUGUCUACUAGGUUGUGGAAGUUCUGACGCUGUCGCGACCGGAGCAAAAGUGUUAAGUAGACCGCCUGGGGAGUACGGCCGCAAGGCUA